Molecule: long non-coding RNA, 395 nt
Filed under: Bos taurus (domestic cattle)
Lineage: Eukaryota; Metazoa; Chordata; Mammalia; Artiodactyla; Bovidae
Description: long non-coding RNA NONBTAT018591
Source: RNAcentral
UAAGUUUAAAAACCACAAUUGGUACCUAGUUAAGAUCCAUUGAAAAAUCUGGGCAACUUUUCAAUAAUUAGGAAAUGGGUGAGGGUGGGGAUAGCACUUACAAUCUAGGACAGCUUUUAAUGUUCUUGUGGAUCACCCUGGGAUCUAGUUGAAAUUCAGUGUAAGGUGUGGGGUCUUCUGCAUUUAAGUUAUGAUUUGACGAGCAAGGGUGAUUUUAUUUUUUUAACCCAAGUUGUAUACCUUCUUGGACAGCACUUAUGGAAAAUGCUGCCCAUGGCAGUGAAACGUAUAUUGCCAUAGUUCUUAGAAGCCUUACUACCAGUUUCUUGGAAAAGGAACUGAUGUAGGCAUUCAUUUCAUAUAGAAAUUAAGGUGGAUAGAUGGUUAUCAGUGAC